RNAcentral lists this long non-coding RNA (216 nucleotides) under Capsicum annuum. RNAcentral's name for it is "long non-coding RNA (CANN_LNC008518)". Lineage: Eukaryota; Viridiplantae; Streptophyta; Magnoliopsida; Solanales; Solanaceae. The record is from RNAcentral.
GCCAUAAAACAAUGAUGGACGAGACAAUCGAAAUUAGAGAGGUCAAUCGAGAAAAUCCUAGAAGGAAUGACUUUAGUCAAACAAAGUUUAUCAUGACAGGACAAAGAUCAAGAAGGAUGAUUUUGAUUUGAUUGAAAGGUGCAGCCUAAUUCGAGAUUAGACAGUUUUGAAGGAUCAAAUAUCUACUCCAAAUUGUGUGUCAUGCAUUAUUGAAGU